This is a non-coding RNA of Danio rerio (zebrafish), 296 nucleotides long. The record is from RefSeq and is a predicted model, not a curated record. NCBI's taxonomy places the organism in Eukaryota, Metazoa, Chordata, Actinopteri, Cypriniformes, Danionidae.
CUCCAUCAGUGGCAUCAAAGAUUUCACCGCAAUUGUCAAUGUUCACCAAACCAAGAUUUUCCGGAUCCCACAUUGCUGCAGCAAAGCCAAAUCUUAGUGUGGCUAGAAGACCAUCACAGGUUGACGUUCAGCCCAGUUCAGCAGUGUGUAGUGCUUCUACACCAAGCACGGCUACACAGGACCUUCAAGUUUCUGCCCCCGUCCUCACAUCCACUACGGCAGUGACCAGUUCCACAGAGCCGUCCGGCAUUGUCUCAGUAAGUAAUUUCAUAUUUUCUGUCCAAAAAAAGGUAAUU